CCUACGGGUGGCUGCAGUGAGGAAUAUUGGUCAAUGGACGAGAGUCUGAACCAGCCAAGUAGCGUGAAGGAUGACUGCCCUAUGGGUUGUAAACUUCUUUUAUAUGGGAAUAACAUGUUCCACGUGUGGGAUUUUGUAUGUACCAUAUGAAUAAGGAUCGGCUAACUCCGUGCCAGCAGCCGCGGUAAUACGGAGGAUCCGAGCGUUAUCCGGAUUUAUUGGGUUUAAAGGGAGCGUAGGUGGAUUGUUAAGUCAGUUGUGAAAGUUUGCGGCUCAACCGUAAAAUUGCAGUUGAAACUGGCAGUCUUGAGUACAGUAGAGGUGGGCGGAAUUCGUGGUGUAGCGGUGAAAUGCUUAGAUAUCACGAAGAACUCCGAUUGCGAAGGCAGUUCACUGGACUGCAACUGACACUGAGGCUCGAAAGUGUGGGUAUCAAACAGGAUGAGAUACCCAAGUAGUC
Molecule: ribosomal RNA, 460 nt
Filed under: uncultured bacterium
Lineage: Bacteria
Description: partial 16S ribosomal RNA
Rfam family: Bacterial small subunit ribosomal RNA
Source: RNAcentral